Molecule: long non-coding RNA, 475 nt
Filed under: Brassica napus (rape)
Lineage: Eukaryota; Viridiplantae; Streptophyta; Magnoliopsida; Brassicales; Brassicaceae
Description: long non-coding RNA (BNAP_LNC022830)
Source: RNAcentral
UUUUCAUCUCUACCAAUGGUUGGUAUAUGAGCUUGGUUCUUGUGAAACUGUAUGCAGAUGACUUUUGUCUAUGGACUUAGCCUUUGAAUAGACAUACAGAUCAGAUGCAGAAUAAUUGCAGAACAAUUACAUUGCACAUUGUACUGCAUAUUUUUACCAUUCAGCUACUUUAUUGCAGGACAAAAAUAAAUUUAUAUAAAAGUAAAUAUCUGCAUGCAGAUUGAUUUUACCCAUUAAACUUUUGAUCUGCAUUAAGGUAAAAAAAAGAACUGGAAAUUAUGCAGAUGACUAAUGAUUUUUUUUUUAUUGAUUAUUGAUAAGAACUUACUUUAUUAAUUCAUGCUAUUCAUUUUCAAACCAUCAAAUCUUUGAAAAUAAGAUUAAUAUUUUCAUUUUAUGAUAUAAUUUAUUUUUAAAGGAGUUUAGCUUAUAAAAUUACAAAUAAAUUUAUAAAUACAUUUACAUAAAUUAUAUA